RNAcentral lists this long non-coding RNA (1003 nucleotides) under Equus caballus (horse). Its description in RNAcentral is "lncRNA (ENSECAG00000050588.1)". Lineage: Eukaryota; Metazoa; Chordata; Mammalia; Perissodactyla; Equidae. The record is from RNAcentral.
GCAUUUUCCUGAUGUCAUAGUGGCUCCAUAUUGGAGGGGGUGGCAAAUGGCAACAUAGCGGUCAUAGGACAUGACAGUGAGAAAGGCCAGUUCAGCAGAUGCAAAAGCAAAGAAAAAGUAGACUUGAGCCACACAGCCAAGAUAAGAGAUGGAGCUGCUGUGGGUCAGAGAGCUGUGGACUGACUUAGGCACGGUGACUGAGAUGUAGCACAAAUCCAAAAAGGAGAGGUUCCUUAGGAAGAAGUACAUGGGCGUGUGCAGAUACUGAUCAAGAGUAAUGAGCAUGAUGAUGAGAAGGUUCCCCACCAGAGCUGCCAGAUAAAUCAGCAGAAACAGUCCAGCAAGUAGCAUCUGUAGCUCCCAGACAUCAGAAAACCCCAUGAGCAGGAAUUCUGUCACUUCCACGAGAUUGUCCAUUGGAAGGUGAAACUAAGACAAAGCAAGGUCAAGUAGCUUGCCCAAGACCACUCAAAAAGCCAGAUCCUGCGCCAGCACUCAAAUCAAGGUAGUCCAUCUCCGGGAUCAGUGUCGCUAACCUCUGCAUUCUACUAAUCUACUUUAAUGGAAACAGCUGCAUGGUGCUGUGGAGCUUCAGUCUUACUCACGUAGCUGGGAUCAUCUGGGCAAGUGAAAUGUUGCUGCCAUCCUGCAGUCCAUUCUAUGUCCAAACCUCCAAAUCAAAUUUCUUUGGAGUAUCUUUUAAAAGAGAAAUUGUUUAAGGUCAAAAUGGAAAUUGAAAAUAGUGGGGUGGACAGAAGAGAGGAGGAGAAUCAUGUUGUCUGAGUAAAGCCAGACACAGCCACGGAAUAUUGAAAAGCAGCGAAUAAUAAAGGAAAAAGUCUUGGAGUUGAAGAUAAACUGAGAGGACUAAGAAAUAAGGAAGAGAAAAAUGAGGCAAGAGGGGGUUGACUGAAUGCAGAUUGGGCUCACUGAGCCCAAGUGUCUGCCCUGAGUGUGCUGCAUUCUGCCAAUGGAUGUCACAUUCCCACCUCCAAAUGCAGAC